ACCUGCUGUUUUGAUGCUGGUGAAAUGGCUGGUUCCAACAAAUAGAAUAACCUGUUAAUAAGCAAAAAAUAUUUUACUUUUCCAUAGCUUCUUUUUAUUCUGUCCUGUUAUUUCAGGACAUGGUCUUGACAUGCUAUAGCAUGAUAUAAUUCAUAGUGAUGCUAUCUAAUGUGCUACAGCAAAAUAUCAAGCAGGGGAAGUGAGAGCUCACACUAUCAUGACAUGUAAGUAUUUCAGAGUGCAAACUGCUGCAGGCAAAGUCUGAUAUAUACUAUCAUUAAUGAAAAGCAUGUAUAUCCUGCAUGUUAUCCGCUGCUCAGUCAAUAAGGCUUUUGAAAGGGAAGACUCACAGUCUAGUGGCUGGAGGAGUAGACUAAGUUUGAGUUUUUUUACUUACAGUGACCUCAUGUAACCCUUUUUCAUUCACCCUGAUAACUGUGAAGUAGAGACAAAGAAUCACUAAGCCAUCCUUUCAGGAACAUUAGUAGGCUUGACUCACUAACAUCAACAUUGUCUGUAAAUUUUUAACAAGCAAAAUUUUUAACAAACAUAACAAGCUACCAAAUAAUGCAUGAUCGUAAUGGUAUAGAUGUCAGCAGGUAGCAAGAACAGGACAAGAGGGGAUGAACCAGGAGCUGAAAGUAAUCCUUUUCCCAUAACAUCAAAACACAUCAGGAAGAGAAAGCUGCCAGUAGCAGGGUCCAUUAACAGUCUGACAGACGGCAAGGAAUGAACCAGGUUCAAGGUCUAACCCCAUGUCAAGUCAGGAACAAAAGGAAACGUAACUGCAAGAUAGGUCUAAAGUCCAUCUGGGUAGACCUGUUACAUAUUUCAGGUACUGCAAAAGACAUCCAUACACAAGAAGACACAAAGUGGGAUCUGUGAAUCUGUUUAGCCACCACACAAGAGUGAGAGAUUAUUCAAAUACCACGGCUGGGGGAAAACAAGCAGGUGCAACAUCAAAUUAUGUUGGGCAUUUCUUCAAUGGAUAUUUUGUUCUAAAUCAAAGCAUACUGCCAACUAAUAAGCCAUGUGCCCUAUGCUUGAGUGUAGUGCACAUCCUACAAGAAGACAGAAAUGCCCUGUGCAAAGGGCACUGCAGCACAGAGGUACUGCACACAGGAUGAGGAAAGCAAGGGUCUACUCUGCAAAGCAACUGCACAAAUGCAGUUACUGAUCCUGCUGAUGAGAUGGGAACCUAAGUAAAAUCCAGUGUGUUCCUCUAUGGUUGAAUCAAGAGCAGCAGGAACACAAGACAGGGAACACAGUAAACAAAAACCACUUUAUUUGUAUCUAAUAAACAGUCAUCAGUGCGAACA
Molecule: long non-coding RNA, 1319 nt
Filed under: Anas platyrhynchos platyrhynchos (common mallard)
Lineage: Eukaryota; Metazoa; Chordata; Aves; Anseriformes; Anatidae
Description: lncRNA (ENSAPLG00000016778.1)
Source: RNAcentral